RNAcentral lists this ribosomal RNA (527 nucleotides) under uncultured bacterium. RNAcentral describes it as "bacterial SSU rRNA". It matches the Rfam family "Bacterial small subunit ribosomal RNA", at positions 777 to 1301 of the family's 1533-position model. The record is from RNAcentral.
AAUAGAUACCCUGGUAGUCCACGCCGUAAACGAUGAGUGCUAAGUGUUAGAGGGUUUCCGCCCUUUAGUGCUGCAGCUAACGCAUUAAGCACUCCGCCUGGGGAGUACGGCCGCAAGGCUGAAACUCAAAGGAAUUGACGGGGGCCCGCACAAGCGGUGGAGCAUGUGGUUUAAUUCGAAGCAACGCGAAGAACCUUACCAGGUCUUGACAUCCUCUGACAACCCUAGAGAUAGGGCUUUCCCCUUCGGGGGACAGAGUGACAGGUGGUGCAUGGUUGUCGUCAGCUCGUGUCGUGAGAUGUUGGGUUAAGUCCCGCAACGAGCGCAACCCUUGAUCUUAGUUGCCAGCAUUCAGUUGGGCACUCUAAGGUGACUGCCGGUGACAAACCGGAGGAAGGUGGGGAUGACGUCAAAUCAUCAUGCCCCUUAUGACCUGGGCUACACACGUGCUACAAUGGAUGGUACAAAGGGCUGCAAACCUGCGAAGGUAAGCGAAUCCCAUAAAAGCCAUUCUCAGUUCGGAUUGC